GGAGGGCGAAUGGCCGCAUACGUAACAUAGCAGUCGAACGAUGAAGCCUAGCUUGCUAGGUGGAUUAGUGGCGAACGGGUGAGUAAUACGUGAGUAACCUACCUUUAACUCUGGGAUAAGCCUGGGAAACUGGGUCUAAUACCGGAUACGACCAAUCUCCGCAUGGGGUGUUGGUGGAAAGCGUUAUGUAGUGGUUAUAGAUGGGCUCACGGCCUAUCAGCUUGUUGGUGAGGUAACGGCUCACCAAGGCGACGACAGGUAGCCGGCCUGAGAGGGUGACCGGCCACACUGGGACUGACACACGGCCCAGACUCCUACGGGAGGCAGCAGUGGGGAAUAUUGCACAAUGGGCGCAAGCCUGAUGCAGCGACGCCGCGUGAGGGAUGACGGCCUUCGGGUUGUAAACCUCUGUUAGCAGGGAAGAAGAGAGAUUGACGGUACCUGCAGAGAAAGCGCCGGCUAACUACGUGCCAGCAGCCGCGGUAAUACGUAGGGCGCGAGCGUUGUCCGGAAUUAUUGGGCGUAAAGAGCUUGUAGGCGGUUUGUCGCGUCUGCUGUGAAAGGCCGGGGCUUAACCCCGUGUAUUGCAGUGGGUACGGGCAGACUAGAGUGCAGUAGGGGAGACUGGAAUUCCUGGUGUAGCGGUGGAAUGCGCAGAUAUCAGGAGGAACACCGAUGGCGAAGGCAGCUCUCUGGGCUGUAACUGACGCUGACAAGCGAAAGCAUGGGGAGCGAACAGGAUUAGAUACCCUGGUAGUCCAUGCCGUAAACGUUGGGACUACGUGUGGGGGACAUUCACGGUUUCCGCGCCGUACUUACGCAUUA
Molecule: ribosomal RNA, 825 nt
Filed under: Rothia sp. Ora-16
Lineage: Bacteria; Bacillati; Actinomycetota; Actinomycetes; Micrococcales; Micrococcaceae
Description: bacterial SSU rRNA
Rfam family: Bacterial small subunit ribosomal RNA
Source: RNAcentral